RNAcentral lists this ribosomal RNA (215 nucleotides) under Clostridioides difficile. Its description in RNAcentral is "partial 23S ribosomal RNA". It matches the Rfam family "Bacterial large subunit ribosomal RNA", at positions 204 to 421 of the family's 2925-position model. Lineage: Bacteria; Bacillati; Bacillota; Clostridia; Peptostreptococcales; Peptostreptococcaceae. The record is from RNAcentral.
AAGUACCUGAAGGAAGAGAAAGAAAUUCGAUUCCGUAAGUAGCGGCGAGCGAACGCGGAUUAGCCCAAACCAAUAAAGUUUUCUUUAUUGGGGUUGUGGACAUAUCAUAACGAAGAGGUAUCGUAAUUGAAGAGGUUUGGAAAGACCCACCACAGAAGGUAAUAGUCCUGUAUGUUAAACGAGAAGACUUUAGAUAUGAUCCAGAGUACCACGGG